Molecule: ribosomal RNA, 1015 nt
Filed under: Bacillus subtilis
Lineage: Bacteria; Bacillati; Bacillota; Bacilli; Caryophanales; Bacillaceae
Description: bacterial SSU rRNA
Rfam family: Bacterial small subunit ribosomal RNA
Source: RNAcentral
GCUUGGGGGGUGCUAUACAUGCAGUCGAGCGGACAGAUGGGAGCUUGCUCCCUGAUGUUAGCGGCGGACGGGUGAGUAACACGUGGGUAACCUGCCUGUAAGACUGGGAUAACUCCGGGAAACCGGGGCUAAUACCGGAUGCUUGUUUGAACCGCAUGGUUCAAACAUAAAAGGUGGCUUCGGCUACCACUUACAGAUGGACCCGCGGCGCAUUAGCUAGUUGGUGAGGUAACGGCUCACCAAGGCAACGAUGCGUAGCCGACCUGAGAGGGUGAUCGGCCACACUGGGACUGAGACACGGCCCAGACUCCUACGGGAGGCAGCAGUAGGGAAUCUUCCGCAAUGGACGAAAGUCUGACGGAGCAACGCCGCGUGAGUGAUGAAGGUUUUCGGAUCGUAAAGCUCUGUUGUUAGGGAAGAACAAGUACCGUUCGAAUAGGGCGGUACCUUGACGGUACCUAACCAGAAAGCCACGGCUAACUACGUGCCAGCAGCCGCGGUAAUACGUAGGUGGCAAGCGUUGUCCGGAAUUAUUGGGCGUAAAGGGCUCGCAGGCGGUUUCUUAAGUCUGAUGUGAAAGCCCCCGGCUCAACCGGGGAGGGUCAUUGGAAACUGGGGAACUUGAGUGCAGAAGAGGAGAGUGGAAUUCCACGUGUAGCGGUGAAAUGCGUAGAGAUGUGGAGGAACACCAGUGGCGAAGGCGACUCUCUGGUCUGUAACUGACGCUGAGGAGCGAAAGCGUGGGGAGCGAACAGGAUUAGAUACCCUGGUAGUCCACGCCGUAAACGAUGAGUGCUAAGUGUUAGGGGGUUUCCGCCCCUUAGUGCUGCAGCUAACGCAUUAAGCACUCCGCCUGCGAGUACGGUCGCAAGACUGAAACUCAAAGGAAUUGACGGGGGCCCGCACAAGCGGUGAGCAUGUGGUUUAUUUCGAAGCAACGCGAAGAACCUUACCAGGUCUUGACAUCCUCUGACAUCCUAGAGAUAGGACGUCCCCUUCGGGGGCAGAGUGACAG